Long non-coding RNA from Aegilops tauschii subsp. strangulata, 1088 nucleotides. RefSeq lists it as uncharacterized. The record is from RefSeq and is a predicted model, not a curated record. NCBI's taxonomy places the organism in Eukaryota, Viridiplantae, Streptophyta, Magnoliopsida, Poales, Poaceae.
CCUGGCUCUGGCGCGCCUCCCGCCGACGGCCCUCCCAGCCCCGACGCGCCUCUCGUCGUCGUCGCUCCGGCACGCCUCCCACCGCCGGCGCCCAUCCCCCGACGCGCCUCUCGCGGCCGUCGCCCCGGCCCCGGCGCACCUCUCUCCAUCCCCAGAUCGCCUCCCACCGCCACCCUCCAUCCCCACCACGCACCCACCACCGGACCGCCGCCGGCGACCGCAUCCCCUGGCUCGGCUGCACGUGACCAGGACCCCCCAUCUCCCAGCAAACCUCGCUGGUGCACGCUACCUCCCUCCUCCUAAGGUUGGGAGCGGUGUGAACUUCGAACAGAUCAGUGGUUGGACAAUCAGCAGUUAACUGCACCAACGCGACUGACGCCACCUCGCACGCGUUCGUCUUCGUCGACGGCGGUCAGCACCUCCAACGCAAAUCGAUUCAGCACCGUCUGUGCACGGCUCGGCUCCUGCGCUUUGUUGCCGCCACGGGACGCAGUGCACCUCCCGUCCUCUGCUUUUCUCCGUGGGAAACUGUCUGCCUCGUGUCGCCGCUUGCCCCUGCUACUGCUGGGAAUAAGCUAUCCCGCAACGCCCUGUACUCAAGCUGUAGCCAUGCUCUCUUUGGUCUCACGCACCAUCCCUACGGCAGCGAAGCUUCCCUCGAACCGGCCGCCAUGCAUCAAACUGAACUGCUGAGUUCAUUCCCCCAAAUUCCUACUAAGCGUACAGUAAAGAGGCGUACCCCGAACUCCUCCGUUACUUAACAAUAUGGUGUGCUUUCUGAUGGAACGGACUCGCAGUAAACUAGGCAAAAAAUCUCAUGUUUACGUGGAGACAAAAUAGUGGCCUUAAUCACCCUAUGUGUGUAGCAAUCGCUAGCUUCAAAACAGAGGCGUGUGCGUGUUUGUGCAUGUAAUUUAAGAAGAUGCAGCCAGCGAGAUAGUGGACAAAAGGAGAAGUGAUUUAAGCUGGUCCAUGGGUGAGAAGAGAUAAGUUGGGCCCAAAAAAGUUGAUUUACGGCCAUGUUGACCAAUAUGAUUUUAGAUUUAGAAAAUAUACAUGGUGGAAAAUAAAUCAGCAGACAAUAGUUA